Thalassotalea sp. PP2-459 is the source of this 45-nucleotide non-coding RNA. The record is from Rfam. Lineage: Bacteria; Pseudomonadati; Pseudomonadota; Gammaproteobacteria; Alteromonadales; Colwelliaceae.
GCACAGGCGUUAUUCGACGCCACCCUGAUAUAAAAUGGCUUCGUA